CACUCCUGCGGGAGGCAGCAGUGGGGAAUUUUGGACAAUGGGCGAAAGCCUGAUCCAGCAAUGCCGCGUGAGUGAAGAAGGCCUUCGGGUUGUAAAGCUCUUUUGUCAGGGAAGAAACGGUGAAAGCUAAUAUCUUUUGCUAAUGACGGUACCUGAAGAAUAAGCACCGGCUAACUACGUGCCAGCAGCCGCGGUAAUACGUAGGGUGCAAGCGUUAAUCGGAAUUACUGGGCGUAAAGCGUGCGCAGGCGGUUUUGUAAGUCUGAUGUGAAAUCCCCGGGCUCAACCUGGGAAUUGCAUUGGAGACUGCAAGGCUAGAAUCUGGCAGAGGGGGGUAGAAUUCCACGCGUAGCAGUGAAAUGCGUAGAUAUGUGGAGGAACACCGAUGGCGAAGGCAGCCCCCUGGGUCAAGAUUGACGCUCAUGCACGAAAGCGUGGGGAGCAAACAGGAUGAGAUACCCCAGUAGUCCCA
This 472-nucleotide ribosomal RNA is filed under the name uncultured organism. RNAcentral's name for it is "partial 16S ribosomal RNA". It matches the Rfam family "Bacterial small subunit ribosomal RNA", at positions 334 to 797 of the family's 1533-position model. The record is from RNAcentral.